AACGAACGCUGGCGGCAUGCCUAACACAUGCAAGUCGAACGAGACCUUCGGGUCUAGUGGCGCACGGGUGCGUAACGCGGGGGAACCUGCCCUUAGGUUCGGAAUAACUCCCCGAAAGGGGUGCUAAUACCGGAUAAUGUCUUCGGACCAAAGAUUUGUCGCCUUUGGAUGGGCCCGCGUUGGAUUAGCUAGGUGGUAGGGUAAAAGCCUACCAAGGCGACGAUCCAUAGCUGGUCUGAGAGGAUGAUCAGCCACACUGGGACUGAGACACGGCCCAGACUCCUACGGGAGGCAGCAGUGGGGAAUAUUGGCCAAUGGGCGAAAGCCUGAUCCAGCAAUGCCGCGUGAGUGAUGAAGGCCUUAGGGUUGUAAAGCUCUUUUACCCGGGAUGAUAAUGACAGUACCGGGAGAAUAAGCUCCGGCUAACUCCGUG
RNAcentral lists this ribosomal RNA (433 nucleotides) under uncultured bacterium. RNAcentral describes it as "partial 16S ribosomal RNA". It matches the Rfam family "Bacterial small subunit ribosomal RNA", at positions 29 to 507 of the family's 1533-position model. The record is from RNAcentral.